This is a long non-coding RNA of Acipenser ruthenus (sterlet), 2305 nucleotides long. RefSeq lists it as uncharacterized. The record is from RefSeq and is a predicted model, not a curated record. The transcript is spliced from 3 exons. Lineage: Eukaryota; Metazoa; Chordata; Actinopteri; Acipenseriformes; Acipenseridae.
GUUAUGCGGUUCCAUCCCAAAAACCGGGCCUGUGUCUCAUACCUCCAAACAUGGAAGGGCAGAUGGCGGUUUUUGAAUUUAUGCUUUUAAAUUAAUAACGACUUGGUUACUUUAUUUUACGCUGAUUAAUUUAUUCCGUAACUGGGUUAUAUUUGUGUUGCUCUGUGGCGUGGUCGUUCCGUACCGGUGCAUCAAACACAGACUGAGGUUAAUGUGGAUCAUUCCAUCUGCAACAACAUGGGGCGGGGAAGAGGCACCGUGCAGAAUUCGUGUUGUUUUUGAAACCUAAAAAAGUACUACCCACCGCAACAUGAAUGUAAAAAGUAAGCUACGAGUUGUUAGACGUAAGUGGGCUAUGUGUGUGUGUCGAACUGAAACUUAAUUCUCAGUUACUCUGGUUCGCUACGUGGGAAGUUUACACACACACACUAAAUCACAAUGAAGUAACAGAUCAUACUAUGUAUUUUUAGAGAACAGGCCUGUAUUAUUAAAAGUCGAGUUUAGAAGUAGCCUCUUCUUGUUCCUAGGGUUGUCACGGUCUUGCCUUCAAGUAACACCACUCGAAGUGAUAGAGCCACUGUAAUGCUUUCAUAUAGAGGCAGAGAUACCCGGAUUCAUUAUAACAGACUUGGAAGAAAGGGUUAAAUGACUUUUCACCAUAUAAUUUCUGAGAUAUAUUUAGCAGCUGUUAAUAAAACCUGCUACAACACGCCUCCUUAUUCUUACUGCUAAUACCUACUUGUAUAGGUAGUGUUGCGAACUUCAAAAAACCAAAUCAUAGACAGAAUAGAAAAACUACUUGUGGUUUGCAAUUUACUUCAUAUGCACAUGUCUGUAAUGUUUUACCUGUAUAACGACCCUGAGUGGAGGGCUAUGUGCAUGCAGUAACGUACACCCCCCACCACAACUGUAAGUUCAAGAUUAGCGCUAUUAGUAUAACGCUAUCAUGCCGAUAUCAACAGUAUAUAUAGAGAAUAGUAACUAUAGAAUAAGACGUGGCAAUGACUAGUGUAAUGAAAAUUGGAUACAUUGUACAAUGUUUGACCUAGAUGUCAUUAGGUAAACAAAUGAGGUGUUGGUAUAUUAAAAUCACUCUUCUGUGUGUGGAAUAACUUGUUUUUUCAAGAUAUAUGAGUAAUGCAGUUGGACUGAUGUACAGACAGAGAUUCUCAUAUAGGGUCCAUAGGAUAUAAAAAAUAUUGUAUCUCAGAGGGAGUCGUUAUACUACAUUCUUGCUUUAUUAACGUCGGGGCAUCAGUGUGUCUAAAGCACUGAAGAACGGCACUGCACGUAUGCUAUACACAAAGAAAAUUUGUGAAAAUUAUUGCAAAACGAAGCACUGUAAUAUUAGGCAAUUUACAAAACAGUAUUCCAAAAGCAGUUCUUGUCGUGUUUUCUCAGUCCAUGCUAAAGUAAUAUUUGCACCGUGUUAACCCGAGACAGAAACAAGAAGAAAGCGCACACAAACUGGCUUUGGAGAUUCGUGAAAAAAUCUUGUUUCAGCUUUUGAACGCUACAGUAAUUGUUUUCUUUAACAUGGUUAAAGUGGGCAGUUACGUGAAUCGACAGCAUGUAAAAAUUGAAACUGAAUUCAACCAUACAGUCUUUUUUUCUGUAACUGAAUCCAUUCUGUCCUGCUAAGAGUUGAAUUUACUGUUUUAGACCCAUAAUAAAAUGUCCUUUGAUCAGUUUCCAUUGGUACCGUUCAGUUGGUAGCAGCAUGUGGAAAUGACACAUGCCAGAGGUCCAUCGAUUAAGAUAAUGCGUUAUUUUCAGGUAGUCUGUUAUAUCUUCACUUCCUAAGGUUAAGGUAAAGUAAAUCAUACACUAAUUGCAACAUGUAGCAAAGCAAUGGCUUGUGGUAAGCUACAGCUUAUUGUACACGAAUUGCAACAUGUAACAAAGCAAUGGCUCAUGGCAGCCCAAGAGCAGCGAGCAGAAGGAAAAGGUGAGGAAGGCGAGUGCAGAUUGCAUUUCCGUCCAGGGCCACCAGGGGACCCGGCUGCUCUCCGAGGCCUUCAUCCUGAGCGACCUCUUCAACAUCGGAGAGCUGGCCACGCUGGAGCUGCUGCUGGCAGGAGAGCACCAGCAGGCUCAUUUCCCUGGCCUGACUCGUGGUCUGGUCGCUGUCCUGCUCUACUGGGAUGGGAAGAGAUGCAUUGCUAACUCACUACGAUCCCUGAUCCAGUCUUGGCGCAGCAAGACCUUCACCCUGGAGCUCAGCUGUUUCAUAGAGUCCUGGUUGCAGAAGUUAAUGCCCUGCAGGGAAUGGCAGCCAUUGGACAGCGGCCUUUACUGCUGGAGG